GCGGUCGUGGCGGAACUGGUAGACGCGCAGCGUUGAGGUCGCUGUCCGGCAACGGGUGGAGGUUCAAGUCCUCUCGACCGCACCA
RNAcentral lists this transfer RNA (85 nucleotides) under Hyphomicrobiales bacterium. Its description in RNAcentral is "tRNA-Leu". It matches the Rfam family "tRNA". Rfam says of the family: Transfer RNA (tRNA) molecules are approximately 80 nucleotides in length. Their secondary structure includes four short double-helical elements and three loops (D, anti-codon, and T loops). Lineage: Bacteria; Pseudomonadati; Pseudomonadota; Alphaproteobacteria; Hyphomicrobiales. The record is from RNAcentral.